UACGUAGGGUGCGAGCGUUACUCGGAAUUACUGGGCGUAAAGGGUGCGUAGGUGGUCGUUUAAGUCCGUUGUGAAAUCCCUGGGCUCAACCUGGGAAUGGCAGUGGAUACUGGACGGCUAGAAUGCGGUAGAGGGUAGUGGAAUUCCCGGUGUAGCGGUGAAAUGCGUAGAUAUCGGAAGGAACAUCAGUGGCGAAAGCGGCUUCCUGGACCAGAACUGACGAUCAGGCUCGAAAGCGUGGGGAGCAAACAGG
This 253-nucleotide ribosomal RNA is filed under the name uncultured bacterium. Its description in RNAcentral is "partial 16S ribosomal RNA". It matches the Rfam family "Bacterial small subunit ribosomal RNA", at positions 524 to 776 of the family's 1533-position model. The record is from RNAcentral.